CCUACGGGAGGCAGCAGUAAGGAAUAUUGGACAAUGGGCGAAAGCCUGAUCCAGCCAUGCCGCGUGAAGGAUUAAGGUCCUCUGGAUUGUAAACUUCUUUUAUGUGGGACGAAAAAAGGGCAUUCUUGCUCACUUGACGGUACCAUUUGAAUAAGCACCGGCUAACUCCGUGCCAGCAGCCGCGGUAAUACGGAGGGUGCAAGCGUUAUCCGGAUUCACUGGGUUUAAAGGGUGCGUAGGCGGGUAGGUAAGUCAGUGGUGAAAUCUCGAAGCUUAACUUCGAAACUGCCAUUGAUACUAUCUAUCUUGAAUAUUGUGGAGGUUUGCGGAAUAUGUCAUGUAGCGGUGAAAUGCUUAGAUAUGACAUAGAACACCGAUUGCGAAGGCAGCAGGCUACACAUAUAUUGACGCUGAGGCACGAAAGCGUGGGGAUCAAACAGGAUUAGAUACCCUGGUAGUCCACGCCCUAAACGAUGAUUACUCGACAUACGCGAUACACUGUGUGUGUCUGNGNGAGANAUAUAUACNCGNGAGACGCGCGAGAGAGAANANANAGAGUAGAGCGNGAGAGNGCGAGGACGACACGAGGGAGGAG
RNAcentral lists this ribosomal RNA (595 nucleotides) under uncultured bacterium. RNAcentral's name for it is "bacterial SSU rRNA". It matches the Rfam family "Bacterial small subunit ribosomal RNA", at positions 338 to 858 of the family's 1533-position model. The record is from RNAcentral.